GAGUUUGAUUAUGGCUCAGAUUGAACGCUGGCGGCAUGCCUUACACAUGCAAGUCGAACGGCAGCACGGGAGCAAUCCUGGUGGCGAGUGGCGAACGGGUGAGUAAAGUAUCGGAACGUGCCCAGUCGUGGGGGAUAACGUAGCGAAAGUUACGCUAAUACCGCAUACGAUCUAUGGAUGAAAGCGGGGGAUCGCAAGACCUCGCGCGAUUGGAGCGGCCGAUAUCAGAUUAGGUAGUUGGUGGGGUAAAGGCUCACCAAGCCGACGAUCUGUAGCUGGUCUGAGAGGACGACCAGCCACACUGGGACUGAGACACGGCCCAGACUCCUACGGGAGGCAGCAGUGGGGAAUUUUGGACAAUGGGCGAAAGCCUGAUCCAGCCAUGCCGCGUGCAGGAUGAAGGCCUUCGGGUUGUAAACUGCUUUUGUACGGAACGAAAAGGUUUGGCCUAAUAAGCUGAGCUCAUGACGGUACCGUAAGAAUAAGCACCGGCUAACUACGUGCCAGCAGCCGCGGUAAUACGUAGGGUGCGAGCGUUAAUCGGAAUUACUGGGCGUAAAGCGUGCGCAGGCGGUUAUGUAAGACAGAUGUGAAAUCCCCGGGCUCAACCUGGGAACUGCAUUAGUGACUGCAUAGCUGGAGUACGGCAGAGGGGGAUGGAAUUCCGCGUGUAGCAGUGAAAUGCGUAGAUAUGCGGAGGAACACCGAUGGCGAAGGCAAUCCCCUGGGCCUGUACUGACGCUCAUGCACGAAAGCGUGGGGAGCAAACAGGAUUAGAUACCCUGGUAGUCCACGCCCUAAACGAUGUCAACUGGUUGUUGGGUCUUCACUGACUCAGUAACGAAGCUAACGCGUGAAGUUGACCGCCUGGGGAGUACGGCCGCAAGGUUGAAACUCAAGGAAUUGACAGGGACCCGCACAAGCGGUGGAUGAUGUGGGUUUAAUUCGAUGCACGCGAAAAACCUUACCCACCUUUGACAUGUACGGAAGUUACCAGAGAUGGUUCGU
RNAcentral lists this ribosomal RNA (1008 nucleotides) under uncultured Pseudomonadota bacterium. Its description in RNAcentral is "bacterial SSU rRNA". It matches the Rfam family "Bacterial small subunit ribosomal RNA", at positions 9 to 1014 of the family's 1533-position model. The record is from RNAcentral. Lineage: Bacteria; Pseudomonadati; Pseudomonadota.